AUUCCUUGCCUGAAGACAACUUGCACAGCAAGAAUCUUUCACCCUGAAAAACAGACAAGCUGAAAGUAAAAAAGUAGUAGGUCCUAUCCACAACUUAGUUACAGAGUUUUCCCAAAUGUUUUAACACAGUUUGUUAUGGAUUAUGAAUAAUAUCUAAAACGAUCAAAGCACCAAUGUGCACCACUUUGCCAUAGGCACCGACAGAAACAUCCGGAAGUGUAUCAUCGUUCAGAUCUGCGUAGCAAUCACGAGACCUUCCGAAAUACUGCACCUGAGGAUCCAGUUUAGAGCCAAGGAUUCGCUAACACAUACAGUUCCUCCCCUUACCUAAUCUAUCACGGCAGUUUUCUUCUGAGCGUUGAGGGUGUAGACGAUAAUUUGUCCAGAGUGGUGGGAAUGCGGUGCACCAGCCACAAGUGUCCCUCAAACGCUGAGAAAGGAAGUUCUUCAGACUGUAACUCUUUCUGAUGGAUCACAGUCCCCUUCCAGGCAUUUGCUCCCACUGCUCCCAGUAUCAUCACAUCCUGAAAGAACACAAUUAUUCUAGUAAAAUAUGUCAGACUGUUCAUUAACAUAUGUUUUUCAUAGUUGCACCACCCUUAUGUACUUUUCUGCCACUCCUGAGUAGCAUCACGUUAACUUUGUAUUCCUCUGUCAAGAAAGGUUGAGCUCAGUAUCCAGAGGUCACAAACCGAGUGUAUCAUAGCAGGCAAAAAGAAAUCAUACUAGUUCCGUAUUUAGUAGUAGUAAAUGUGUUACAAAAACAUGUUGAGGCAUGUCUCUAAUCCAGGGAGUUUACAGGAGAUCUGGGGAAGUACUCAGUGCUUUAUAUGAACCAAUGAAACAUAAAUGCGUGUGUGAUUUCUUUGAAAUAAAAUAAUUUAUAUUUAUUAUAAUUUUUACAUAUAUCUGCAUGUAACGCAAUAUAGGGAAUGUGUCUGAAUAAGACUAAAAGAUUGAUCCUCUGACUUGAAAUGUUUACUAUGGUAAGAAGUCAGAAGAAGAGCUUAAAGCUGAAAUCAACAAAUGAAGAAAUGUUGUGAUUAACAUUAUGAUUCUCAAAUGUGUGUAAUAAAUAAAAAGAAGAAGUGCUGUGCUAUAAUGUCAGUUAUAGGAACAACUGAAAAAAGAGAAGUGUAUAAACUGUCAAAAAGAUAGGGACAGUUACAGGAAAGAUGUCCAGGUCAUGACACACUCUGGCUGGUGUGCACAGGUGUCCCAUAACAACAGGAACAGACAUCUUGAAGACCUAAAAAGGAGUGAAUGAUUUUUCACAUACAAGAAGAGUCUACAACGGUGGCUCGGGUUGAGUGUCGAUACACAGCUGAAAACUACAAACACUGCCUGGAUUUGAAGUUUGAAAGCAUUCCUGAGAACGUUGCUUUCCAUCUCACAUGCUACCGGAGGUUUAUUGACAAGAGUGCAAUUGCAAAAGUGAAAAGGCGUCUCGAGUGUGUGAGUGAGAGAGAGGAGAGGAUACGGAAGACGGCUCAAGAAGUGAGGCCAUCCCAUCAACAUCGAGCAGGACGACUCCGAGUCCGACAAAGAAACUGACCCAGGUCAGGCCGUUACUAUUAAUUUUCUUAUGCUGUUUUGUACUGUUUUAUAUUUGUUUUAAUAAAUAAUGUUUUUUUAUGGUUGAUCAGUGUUGAAUUUAGUUAGGAACGAAUAAAUGAA
Long non-coding RNA from Cynoglossus semilaevis (tongue sole), 1677 nucleotides. RefSeq lists it as uncharacterized. NCBI's taxonomy places the organism in Eukaryota, Metazoa, Chordata, Actinopteri, Pleuronectiformes, Cynoglossidae. The transcript is spliced from 3 exons. The record is from RefSeq and is a predicted model, not a curated record.